Long non-coding RNA from Coregonus clupeaformis (lake whitefish), 850 nucleotides. RefSeq lists it as uncharacterized. The record is from RefSeq and is a predicted model, not a curated record. The transcript is spliced from 6 exons. NCBI's taxonomy places the organism in Eukaryota, Metazoa, Chordata, Actinopteri, Salmoniformes, Salmonidae.
AAAUCGUCCCUUCGCCCACUUUGCUUCCCUUCAUUGAAUGGGGUUUCAUCGCCCCCAACGCGUUCAAAGGAUCACGUGGCCUAUACGGAUUGACCAUACCUCCACAGCCAAAGUUCUAUGGUUUGCAUGCCCUGCGGAAGGACCCUAGCAUGCGGUCGGAAUAGGUGCUUGGAGUUCGUCUGUCCCCAACUGUCUGCACCAGUAACGCUAGCUUGGUGUGCAACGACCGGUGGUGAGUUACUGCCCUGAUGACACAGACGGCUUCAUCGACAACGGCCCUCCCAGUCAACACCACUUCAUAUGAUGAAGUACAUUGUUUAUGAGGAUUGCAGGCUGCAGUUGUUCAAGAGAUUUCCAGUUUGCCGCCAAACAUGCAACAUAGAGAAGACCAGCAAGGGGACCUUGCAUGCAGACAUGCCCUCGCUGUGAGCAUUCCUAUAAAUGGAAUAGGGCGGACACUUGAAUAAGUAUCUUUGAGGCCAGGAGCUGAUCUACACUGCCAUGCCCAUCAAUUGGGCGCUGGCAAAGACCCCACCACCAGCCUUACCUCUUGCCUGCUCACCAACGGUCGUCGAUGGGGAGACCAGAAUUAGAAACAUGUAUGGAGCCAGCACAUGGAGACUUGCAAGAUGAUGUGAUGGAUCCUGAUCGACAGACAGGAUUCAUACUGAUGUCUCUGAAUGGAGAGAGACCUGGCACUCAACACAUCCACAAUGUGGGACUGGAGAAACAUGUAUGGAGCCAGCACAUGGAGACCUGCAAGAUUAUGUGAUGAAGUCCAGACUCAUACUUUGAUGUCUCUAAAUGGAGAGGAACCUGGCACUCUGCAUUAAAAUUUUACUAGACACAA